This 1078-nucleotide long non-coding RNA is filed under the name Triticum aestivum (bread wheat). Its description in RNAcentral is "long non-coding RNA (TAES_LNC017566)". Lineage: Eukaryota; Viridiplantae; Streptophyta; Magnoliopsida; Poales; Poaceae. The record is from RNAcentral.
UCGAUUUUUACAGAAAAUAUGGAACCAGAAUUGCUGGCCUGAAAGUAUGCCCCAAUACAUUUAGAUUGCCAUCUUUCUUGUUCAACUUUCUAUUAAUCUUUACCAGUUAUGCACAAAACAAUUUUGUAGUUUUUAUAGUGGUGCCACACUGAAAAGUUUAGUCUUGGUGACAUUAUAAUUCCUUGAGCUCAAAUAGAUCCUUGCCAGCAUUUAGUAUGCUAUUGGAGUAAAGGCGGUGCCUAUUAAUCUGAUUGUGUUGGCACACUAUAAUGAAGCUACGUUUUCCCAAGAAAUAACCAUGCUGUAGGCUUCUAGGGUGGCUGUACUAUCAACUGGGUGUUGUUUGCAUAUGUCCCUAUCAGUAUCAGGUUCAUUCUUGCGCGUUUGUGGAUAGUUUUUUUUGCCUUCGUGUGCUAAUCAACCAUCUCUGCGCUUGCUGCAGACCAAGAUUCCGAGGAAGGGAGCCGUCAUCAAAGGGAAGAUCAACAACGACUCGGUUGACAAGUGAGUGCUAUCUGCCUUGUGCUGGUUGCCAUAUAACUUCAAUUGUAAUUUCAUAAAUAAAUGUAAGAAGCACCUGACUGCAAUUAGAAAUUCAGAAUUUCCCCUGUUGUUAGAGCUGGGCAUUUGUGUGCUACGCCUGCAAUGACUAAUUACUCUUGUGUACACGGUUAAGUGGCCUUCAUUUUAACUUGAUGCUACAUUUAUUCCUUUGUUUUUAGGAGCUGAUAAUAAGCACAAGUUGUUAUGUUCUAUUUAUAUUCAUGUUCAUACUUGAAAAAAUAGCAGUAUCUCUAUAUAAUAUUUAGUGUCACAUAAUUUCAGUAAAAACAACCCAAAAUAGUUUUAGCAUGGCCGGCCAAUUCCUGCUCAUCCAUACACACACAGCUGGCCAGCCGAUUAACAACAAAGGAUUGAAAUAUGCAGCUAUGAGUACAAAACGACCAAAACCCAUUGCUUGUAGUAUUACUAGUGUUUUUCUUGUGAAAUUCAUAUUGUAUAUCCUUCUCUCUUUCCUUGUGUUGAUCGUUAUAUACGGAGUUGUACUUCUGGGUGUGCUUAUAAUACCCUCUCAUAG